This 232-nucleotide ribosomal RNA is filed under the name uncultured bacterium. RNAcentral's name for it is "partial 16S ribosomal RNA". It matches the Rfam family "Bacterial small subunit ribosomal RNA", at positions 118 to 347 of the family's 1533-position model. The record is from RNAcentral.
UGAGUAACCUGCCCUUCACUCUGGGAUAACUCCGGGAAACCGGGGCUAAUACUGGAUAUGACUCGAACAGGCAUCUGUUUCGGGUGGAAAGAUUUAUUGGUGGAGGAUGGACUCGCGGCCUAUCAGCUUGUUGGUGAGGUAAUGGCUCACCAAGGCGACGACGGGUAGCUGGUCUGAGAGGAUGGCCAGCCACAUUGGGACUGAGACACGGCCCAGACCUCCUACGGGAGCA